AAGAUACGUUCAUUCUAAAUGAAGGAAUUUAGCUCUGAAGAAAUGGAGAUGGAGGCAAGCCCAAUUCAAGGUCACGCAACCCGAUCUGGUUGGAUCGAUAAGACCUCCUAGCCUAACAAGAGAUUUUCCUCACUGGAACAGAUCCAAGUUUUCUAGGGAAGAUGAUGGUUGCGACGAGGUUGCAUGUUUCAGAUCGAGAUGCCGGAAGAGUGAAUUUCAUCCGAUUCAAAUUUUCUCUGUAAGUGAAUUGCAACUAUAACUACAGGAGAACUAAAGGUGUAGCAAUAAGUUGUUACACAUGCAGCUCCAGGAAUGGAACUGAUUUGAACUGCCAUGAUCCAUUUCAUCCAGCAAUGAGUACGUAUACUGAAGGAUGUAAAGUCCCAAAAGAAGGCCAUAUAGGACGAUUUCCAGCUAAUUUUUGUAUUAAAGUGAUUGUUCAAACUAAAGAAGAACACGUCAUACGUGCUUGUACGCUGGAAAAUAUGGAUAACCAGUGUGGUGUCUUCCGGUUUGAAAAGGAUACUUUACAAGGCUGUAUACUUACUUGUGACUAUGACGGUUGUAAUUCAAG
This is a long non-coding RNA of Stegodyphus dumicola, 574 nucleotides long. NCBI's taxonomy places the organism in Eukaryota, Metazoa, Arthropoda, Arachnida, Araneae, Eresidae. The record is from RefSeq and is a predicted model, not a curated record.